AUGGCGAACGGGACCGGAUCUCUGGGUCUCGUCGUCGACGACGGCCUCGGGCAGACCUCGUCCCCGCUCCCCUCCGCCGCGCCCGUCGACGAGGUCCCCGGCGCGACCGCCUUCCCGCUUCCCCCCGCCGCGCCCGUCGACGAGGUCCCCGGCGCGACCGCGUCCCUGCUUAUCUCCGCCGCGCCCGUCGACGAGGUCCCCGGCGCGACCGCGUUCCCGCUUCCCCCCGCCGCGCCCGUCGACGAGGUCCCCGGCGCGACCGCGUCCCUGCUUACCUCCGCCGCGCCCGUCGACGAGGGCCUCGGCGCGACCCCGGCUCCGCUUCGCUCUGCCGCGCCCGCGUCUCCGCUUCGCCCCGCCGCGCCCGCGCCCGCGCCGGGUGUGCCGCCCACACCCGAUGGGAGCGCCGGCCGCCAUGGGCUCCCAGGGUCGCGCACGGACAGCGUGGCGAACGGGGGGGAUUCUGGAUCCCAAGCUCGGGGUGUCGGCGUCUCCAAGGGCCUCGGCGCGACCUCCUCGCCACCUCGCUCGGCCGCGCCCCCGUCGCGUGUGCCCCUCGCGCCCGAUGCGAGCGGCCACGGCGCGGGAGGAGGCGUCCGCGACAUCUGCAAUGAGGUCGUGGAGCGGCUCGUCGCCGGUGGCCGCCUGGACCCGGGGGCGAACGACGUUCUGCUCCGCACCUUGCUCGAGCAGCAUCUCGGCCGGUUUCUUGACAGGACUCAUUCAAGCCAAACAAGAAGACGUGGUAGCAUUAGGAGACUGCAGAAUAUCAAGACGAGGAAACGAUCUGAGAAGCUCAAAGAAGAGAAGAUGAUGGAAUCAUUCAAGGCAAUCUUAUCGGAUUCAAUCUCAUUUCUGUUUCCAACAAUGGUAGCAGUCUUCGCAAGCAACUUCUCUUUCGGAGAAUACGAGAAAUGCUUACUGAUCUUGUUGUGUGCUCUUGGGGGACUCCUCAUUCUGCUUGCAAUGGUGCUGUCCCAUGGGGUUGAUGAUGGACAAGGAAGGACGGUUGUCGUGUCCCAUCUCACGUUGGGGGCUGUUAUAUACGUAUUUGGUAUGCUUGUGUACUGUCUGUACAAGUUCUUUCCUGAAGGGUCUGGCCAGGUCAUGGCCUUGUACGGUGGUGUUGCUCAUUUUGUCUUUGGAGCAGUAGUGCUUACAGUUCUGUGGGCGACUUUGUUCAAGGUUAGUCCGUGA
RNAcentral lists this ribosomal RNA (1197 nucleotides) under Triticum aestivum (bread wheat). RNAcentral's name for it is "partial small subunit ribosomal RNA". Lineage: Eukaryota; Viridiplantae; Streptophyta; Magnoliopsida; Poales; Poaceae. The record is from RNAcentral.